CUAGCUGCAUUAUUUGACGUUAGCGACAGAAGAAGCACCGGCUAACUCCCGUGCCAGCAGCCGCGGUAAUACGGAGGGUGCGAGCGUUAAUCGGAAUUACUGGGCGUAAAGCGCAUGCAGGUGGUUUGUUAAGUCAGAUGUGAAAGCCCGGGGCUCAACCUCGGAAUUGCAUUUGAAACUGGCAGACUAGAGUACUGUAGAGGGGGUAGAAUUUCAGGUGUAGCGGUGAAAUGCGUAGAGAUCUGAAGGAAUACCGGUGGCGAAGGCGGCCCCCUGGACAGAUACUGACACUCAGACUGCGAAAGCGUGGGGAGCCAAACAGGAUUAGAUACCCCUGGUAG
This 341-nucleotide ribosomal RNA is filed under the name uncultured bacterium. RNAcentral's name for it is "bacterial SSU rRNA". It matches the Rfam family "Bacterial small subunit ribosomal RNA", at positions 456 to 793 of the family's 1533-position model. The record is from RNAcentral.